AUCCGCAAAAACUACUAGUAGACCACAUUUGGAUGCGGCCCUAGUAGUUAUUUGCGGAUCA
Molecule: microRNA precursor, 61 nt
Filed under: Pristionchus pacificus
Lineage: Eukaryota; Metazoa; Nematoda; Chromadorea; Rhabditida; Neodiplogasteridae
Description: microRNA ppc-mir-8313 precursor
Source: miRBase by way of RNAcentral